RNAcentral lists this ribosomal RNA (301 nucleotides) under uncultured Pseudomonas sp. Its description in RNAcentral is "bacterial SSU rRNA". It matches the Rfam family "Bacterial small subunit ribosomal RNA", at positions 1080 to 1382 of the family's 1533-position model. The record is from RNAcentral. Lineage: Bacteria; Pseudomonadati; Pseudomonadota; Gammaproteobacteria; Pseudomonadales; Pseudomonadaceae.
UUAAGUCCGUACGAGCGCAACCCUUGUCCUUAGUUACCAGCACGUUAUGGUGGGCACUCUAAGGAGACUGCCGGUGACAACCGGAGGAAGGUGGGGAGUGACGUCAAGUCAUCAUGGCCCUUACGGCCUGGGCUACACACGUGCUACAAUGGUCGGUACAAAGGGUUGCCAAGCCGCGAGGUGGAGCUAAUCCCAUAAAACCGAUCGUAGUCCGGAUCGCAGUCUGCAACUCGACUGCGUGAAGUCGGAAUCGCUAGUAAUCGUGAAUCAGAAUGUCACGGUGAAUACGUUCCCGGGCCUU